GCAAGGAGCACACAGCCUGUGGGAAAAUGUGGGGCGAGGGUUAGGGAAGGCUUCCUGGAGGAGCGGGCAUGUGUGCUGCGACUUGAAGGGCAGACAGGGACGGUCUGGUAGUGAGGCCUGCCAGGAAAAUUAGAAAAGGAGUUUAUCUGGGUUUCGGAAAGAGCAGUCUGGCAGCAUGUCCGAGCACAGCCCAGAGCAAAGAAAGAUUCACUGCGUCAUUCACAGCCCACAAAGUCAUUUUUCAAUGGGGCUGGCAGUGAGCCUGGAUGGGCAUGGAGAAGUUUCACCGCGCAGAGCACAA
Long non-coding RNA from Mustela erminea (ermine), 301 nucleotides. RefSeq lists it as uncharacterized. The transcript is spliced from 3 exons. The record is from RefSeq and is a predicted model, not a curated record. Lineage: Eukaryota; Metazoa; Chordata; Mammalia; Carnivora; Mustelidae.